RNAcentral lists this ribosomal RNA (506 nucleotides) under uncultured bacterium. RNAcentral describes it as "bacterial SSU rRNA". It matches the Rfam family "Bacterial small subunit ribosomal RNA", at positions 19 to 518 of the family's 1533-position model. The record is from RNAcentral.
CUGGCUCAGGAUGAACGCUAGCGAUAGGCUUAACACAUGCAAGUCGAGGGGCAGCACGGUGUAGCAAUACACUGGUGGCGACCGGCGUACGGGUGCGUAACACGUAUGCAACCUACCCGCUAUUGGGGGAUAACCCGGCGAAAGUCGGACUAAUACCCCAUAUUAUUCUUACCGGGCAUCCGGUAGGUCUGAAAGAUUUAUCGAUUGCGGAUGGGCAUGCGGAUGAUUAGCCAGUAGGUGGGGUAACGGCUCACCUAGGCGACGAUCAUUAGGGGUUCUGAGAGGAAGGUCCCCCACACUGGAACUGAGACACGGCCCAGACUCCUACGGGAGGCAGCAGUGAGGAAUAUUGGUCAAUGGGCGCUAGCCUGAACCAGCCAAGUCGCGUGAAGGAUGACAGAUCUAUGGUUUGUAAACUUCUUUUGCAGGGGAGUAAAGUGCGACACGUGUGUUGUAUUGCAAGUACCCUGCGAAUAAGCAUCGGCUAACUCCGUGCCAGCCGCUGC